CACAGGGAUAGGGAGAAGGUGAUCCACAUUGCAGGGGCCUAAUUACAGGGGGCCCUGAAUGCCAAGCCAAGACUUGGAAAAUUAGAAGGUCUACAAGGACUCCAGAACUCUCCAGGAGUGAUGAAAGAUGGUGUCUUAGCCUGGGUUUCUGCAACAAGCAGAGCCUAGCACAACAUGGUGGUUUACUUUGAAAAGUGAUCCCAAGAAACAGGAGUGAGAGGCUCGGAAGAGUCAAACGGAAAGAGGACAAGCCAACCAAGGCUGUGCCUGGGUGCAUCACGAUUCACCUAAAAAUCACCACUGAAAUCCGCAGCAGGCAAUUGUGCCAGACAACAGGUGAUGACGGGGGCAAACACGACUCAGCUUCUGCCUGCAGCAUCUACAGUCAUGGAAGGAGACCUCCGUGAAAGUGUGGUGUUUGCUGUGAGAGGGAGCAGACGCUCACUGCCAUAGAUCUCAGAGACCACCAAGGCUGAAUAAGCUGAACAACGCAUGCGGAAAGUCCACAGGCCUGCACACCAAUGGCCACAGCCUGUUCUCUCCCUGCAGGUAGGACACUCAUGCGGUACCACCCUUCCUGAGGACACCUUCCUUCCAUUGCCUGGACAGCAGCAUCCUGCCCUGGGCCACCCUCCAUGUGGAUGCCCUUCCCACUUCCCCAGGGCACUGACUCCAAGCGCAAGGUGCCCUUGCAAUAGACACUCUCCUCACCCCUCUAGUUCUGCCAUCCUGCCCUGGGCCACCUUCUGUGUAGACCCCUCC
This is a long non-coding RNA of Homo sapiens (human), 762 nucleotides long. RefSeq lists it as uncharacterized. NCBI's taxonomy places the organism in Eukaryota, Metazoa, Chordata, Mammalia, Primates, Hominidae. The record is from RefSeq and is a predicted model, not a curated record. The transcript is spliced from 5 exons.